RNAcentral lists this microRNA precursor (76 nucleotides) under Tursiops truncatus (common bottlenose dolphin). Its description in RNAcentral is "miRNA (ENSTTRG00000024739.1)". Lineage: Eukaryota; Metazoa; Chordata; Mammalia; Artiodactyla; Delphinidae. The record is from RNAcentral.
GGCAUCCUGUUAAAAUGCAGAUUCUGAUGCAGUAGGUCUGGGGCGGGGCUUGAGAUUCUGCAUUUUUAACAAGCUC